GAGAGAGACAUGCGCGCAUAUCAAUAAGCGGAGGAAAAGAAACUAACAAGGAUUCCCUUAGUAACGGCGAGUGAAGCGGGAAGAGCUCAAAUUUGAAAUCUUCAAGGAUUUACCUUGACGAAUUGUAGUUUAAAGAAGUGUUUUCUGCUGAAGUUUUGGUAAAAGUUCUUUGGAAUAGGACAUCAUAGAGGGUGAGAAUCCCGUAUUUGACCAUUAUUUUCAGCUUUGUGAUACACUUCCAAAGAGUCGGAUUGUUUGGGAAUGCAGUCCAAAAUGGGUGGUAAAUUUCAUCUAAAGCUAAAUAUUGACGAGAGACCGAUAGCGAACAAGUACCGUGAGGGAAAGAUGAAAAGAACUUUGAAAAGAGAGUUAAACAGUACGUGAAAUUGUCAAAAGGGAAGCGUUUGACACCAGUGUUGUUUUCUCGAAAAUCAAUUAAAAAUGGCUCGAUUUUGUAUUGCUUGAGACCUUAAAAGCUCACUGUACAUUUUUCGUGUCUUUUUUAAUGCACUUUUCGUUUAACAAGUCAACAUCAGUUUCUUUUGUUGUAAAAGGGUCAUUGGAAGGUGGCUUUCUUUUCGGAGAAAGUGUUUAUAGCCUUUGGCCUCUGCAAUCGGAGAGACUGAGGUCUGCAGCGUAGACUCUUCGGGGUUAGAUACAUUUGUGCUAAGUUAUAGCUUUUUAUAGACAACUUGUUGACUAUAAUUAGUCUUGUAGCUUACUCGCUUAUGCUAUUUUACCUACGCUUAGGAUGUUGAAGUCAUCGUAUCGCGC
RNAcentral lists this ribosomal RNA (774 nucleotides) under uncultured Neocallimastigales. RNAcentral's name for it is "partial large subunit ribosomal RNA". It matches the Rfam family "Eukaryotic large subunit ribosomal RNA", at positions 23 to 645 of the family's 3401-position model. Lineage: Eukaryota; Fungi; Neocallimastigomycota; Neocallimastigomycetes; Neocallimastigales. The record is from RNAcentral.